This 779-nucleotide long non-coding RNA is filed under the name Apteryx owenii (little spotted kiwi). RNAcentral describes it as "lncRNA (ENSAOWG00000017687.1)". Lineage: Eukaryota; Metazoa; Chordata; Aves; Apterygiformes; Apterygidae. The record is from RNAcentral.
CAGAAAUAGGUUGGUAACUGACUCAUGUUAGAAAAUAUAACAUUUAAAAAUAGAGAUGAUCACAUGCUGUGGGUGAUCCCAUGGAAUGGGGCUUCAGGUGGAGGUAGAAUUUAAACCGUGUUUUCUGCUCUCCUGUCACAGCACUGCUAUUAUUUGUGUUUCCCACACAGAAUCACAGCUUUUUGCACCUCCUCAAUGUGACUUACCAUAUUUAGGAACUGAGGCAAUCUGAAACCUUUUGAGAUAUGGUGGCCAGAAUUAAAUGGAAUACUCAGAUUCUCAAUGCACGUUUAAAGGCUGAAACAUCCACAGCAGCACUGCAAAGAUGGCAGGAAAUGGUGCAAAAGCAAAUAAAGUGGAAGAGAACAAGUGAGUGUGAAAGAAGAGCAACUCCAUGCUAUUGGCUGUACUCAGCAGGACUGAUGAGGGCAGGAACUUGCAGACAAGUAAAUAUUACACUGAUGGUUUCAAUAUUGACCCUUUGUAAUAUGAUGCAAGAGAACAGCUUCUCAGAAGAAUGACUGAUGGGGCUUCUUCAAGCAAAAUCACUUUUGUUUUACACACUGGCAAUUCAAAUGCUAAAUGUAUUUAGUUUUAAUUGUGCUUUGACUUUUUAACUAAGCUAGUAUGUAGUCUCCAUUUGUAUCCUACUGCUGGAAGAAAAUGAAAGAUAUAAAAGCACUUUUGAAAGGGUGUAAUUUCUGAAAUCUUCUAGGGCCUGAAUAUAUGCUUUGAAGAGUUUAAAUAAACUCCAGAGAAGGAGAUUGAAAUGAAGUCUU